GAUGAACGCUGGCGGCGUGCCUAAUACAUGCAAGUCGAGCGAACGGACGAGAAGCUUGCUUCUCUGAUGUUAGCGGCGGACGGGUGAGUAACACGUGGAUAACCUACCUAUAAGACUGGGAUAACUUCGGGAAACCGGAGCUAAUACCGGAUAAUAUUUUGAACCGCAUGGUUCAAAAGUGAAAGACGGUCUUGCUGUCACUUAUAGAUGGAUCCGCGCUGCAUUAGCUAGUUGGUAAGGUAACGGCUUACCAAGGCAACGAUGCAUAGCCGACCUGAGAGGGUGAUCGGCCACAAUGGAGCGGAGACACGGUCCAGACUCCUACGGGAGGCAGCAGUAGGGAAUCUUCCGCAAUGGGCGGAAGCCUGACGGAGCAACGCCGCGUGAGUGAUGAAGGUCUUCGGAUCGUAAAACUCUGUUAUUAGGGAAGAACAUAUGUGUAAGUAACUGUGCACAUCUUGACGGUACCUAAUCAGAAAGCCACGGCUAACUACGUG
RNAcentral lists this ribosomal RNA (497 nucleotides) under uncultured bacterium. RNAcentral's name for it is "partial 16S ribosomal RNA". It matches the Rfam family "Bacterial small subunit ribosomal RNA", at positions 28 to 507 of the family's 1533-position model. The record is from RNAcentral.